Molecule: ribosomal RNA, 401 nt
Filed under: uncultured bacterium
Lineage: Bacteria
Description: bacterial SSU rRNA
Rfam family: Bacterial small subunit ribosomal RNA
Source: RNAcentral
AUUGAACGCUGGCGGCAUGCCUUACACAUGCAAGUCGAACGGUAACAGGUCUUCGGAUGCUGACGAGUGGCGAACGGGUGAGUAAUACAUCGGAACGUGCCCGAUCGUGGGGAUAACGCAGCGAAAGCUGUGCUAAUACCGCAUACGAUCUACGGAUGAAAGCGGGGAUCGCAAGACCUCGCGCGGACGGAGCGGCCGAUGGCAGAUUAGGUAGUUGGUGGGAUAAAAGCUUACCAAGCCGACGAUCUGUAGCUGGUCUGAGAGGACGACCAGCCACACUGGGACUGAGACACGGCCCAGACUCCUACGGGAGGCAGCAGUGGGGAAUUUUGGACAAUGGGCGCAAGCCUGAUCCAGCCAUGCCGCGUGCAGGAUGAAGGCCUUCGGUUGUAAACUGCUUU